RNAcentral lists this ribosomal RNA (480 nucleotides) under uncultured bacterium. Its description in RNAcentral is "partial 16S ribosomal RNA". It matches the Rfam family "Bacterial small subunit ribosomal RNA", at positions 28 to 523 of the family's 1533-position model. The record is from RNAcentral.
GACGAACGCUGGCGGCGUGCUUAACACAUGCAAGUCGAGCGGUAAGGCCCUUUCGGGGGUACACGAGCGGCGAACGGGUGAGUAACACGUGGGUGACCUGCCCUCCACUCUGGGAUAAGCCCGGGCAACUUGGUCUAAUACCGGAUAGGACCAUUGGAUGCAUGUCUGGUGGUGGACAGUUUUUUCGGUGGCGGAUGGGCCCGCGGCCUAUCAGCUUGUUGGUGGGGUGAUGGCCUACCAAGGCGGUGACGGGUAGCCGGCCUGAGAGGGCGACCGGCAACACUGGGACUGAGACACGGCCCAGACUCCUACGGGAGGCAGCGGUGGGGAGUAUUGCGCAAUGGGCGGAAGCCUGACGCAGCGACGCCGCGUGGGGGACGACGGCCUUCGGGUUGUAAACCUCUUUCGCCAGGGACGAAGCUAACGUGACGGUACCUGGAGAAGAAGCACCGGCCAACUACGUGCCAGCCGCCGCCGUAA